Molecule: transfer RNA, 65 nt
Filed under: Neocrepidodera brevicollis
Lineage: Eukaryota; Metazoa; Arthropoda; Insecta; Coleoptera; Chrysomelidae
Description: tRNA-Glu
Source: RNAcentral
AUUUAUAUAGUUUAAUAAAACGUUACAUUUUCAUUGUAAAAUUAGAUAAUUUAAUCUUAUAAAUA